GGCCCUUCACCUCAAGCACAUAUUCAGUACGGCUACUGCCCUUCGCCUCAAGCGCAUACUCAGCAUGGCUACUGCCCUUCGCCUCAAGCGCAUACUCAGCAUGGCUACUGCCCUUCGCCUCAAGCACAUAUUCAGCAUUGCCAUGGCUCUUCACCCCAAGCACAUAUUCACGAUAACCUUUCACCCCUUUUGCCCCCUUCACCGUCUUCAUCCACCUUGCUCCAAGAGCAUAUUCAGCAUGAUCCUUCACCCCAAGCACAUAUUCAGCAUUGCCAUGGCCCUUCACCCCAAGCACAUAUUCACGAUAAUCCUUCACCCCCUUCACUAUCUUCAUCCACUUUGCUCCAAGAGUAUAUUCAGCAUGAUCCUUCGC
This 373-nucleotide long non-coding RNA is filed under the name Malus domestica (apple). Its description in RNAcentral is "long non-coding RNA (MDOM_LNC009444)". Lineage: Eukaryota; Viridiplantae; Streptophyta; Magnoliopsida; Rosales; Rosaceae. The record is from RNAcentral.